This 492-nucleotide ribosomal RNA is filed under the name uncultured bacterium. RNAcentral's name for it is "partial 16S ribosomal RNA". It matches the Rfam family "Bacterial small subunit ribosomal RNA", at positions 29 to 507 of the family's 1533-position model. The record is from RNAcentral.
AGUGAACGCUGGCGGUAGGCCUAACACAUGCAAGUCGAACGGCAGCACAGUAAGAGCUUGCUCUUACGGGUGGCGAGUGGCGGACGGGUGAGGAAUACAUCGGAAUCUACUUUUUCGUGGGGGAUAACGUAGGGAAACUUACGCUAAUACCGCAUACGACCUACGGGUGAAAGCAGGGGAUCUUCGGACCUUGCGCGAUUGAAUGAGCCGAUGUCGGAUUAGCUAGUUGGCGGGGUAAAGGCCCACCAAGGCGACGAUCCGUAGCUGGUCUGAGAGGAUGAUCAGCCACACUGGAACUGAGACACGGUCCAGAGUCCUACGGGAGGCAGCAGUGGGGAAUAUUGGACAAAGGGCGCAAGCCUGAUCCAGCCAUACCGCGUGGGUGAAGAAGGCCUUCGGGUUGUAAAGCCCUUUUGUUGGGAAAGAAAAGCAGCAGGUUAAUACCCCGCUGUUCUGACGGUACCCAAAGAAUAAGCACCGGCUAACUUCGUG